This 468-nucleotide ribosomal RNA is filed under the name uncultured bacterium. RNAcentral describes it as "partial 16S ribosomal RNA". It matches the Rfam family "Bacterial small subunit ribosomal RNA", at positions 28 to 507 of the family's 1533-position model. The record is from RNAcentral.
GAUGAACGCUGGCGGCGUGCUUAACACAUGCAAGUCGAACGGUGAAGGCGGAGCUUGCUCUGCUGGAUCAGUGGCGAACGGGUGAGUAACACGUGAGCAAUCUGCCCCUGACUCUGGGAUAAGCGCUGGAAACGGCGUCUAAUACUGGAUACGAGCUGCGAAGGCAUCUUCAGCAGCUGGAAAGAACUUCGGUCAGGGAUGAGCUCGCGGCCUAUCAGCUUGUUGGUGAGGUAACGGCUCACCAAGGCGUCGACGGGUAGCCGGCCUGAGAGGGUGACCGGCCACACUGGGACUGAGCGACGGCCCAGACUCCUACGGGAGGCAGCAGUGGGGAAUAUUGCACAAUGGGCGAAAGCCUGAUGCAGCAACGCCGCGUGAGGGACGACGGCCUUCGGGUUGUAAACCUCUUUUAGCAGGGAAGAAGCGAAAGUGACGGUACCUGCAGAAAAAGCGCCGGCUAACUACGUG